This 1127-nucleotide unclassified non-coding RNA is filed under the name Stegodyphus dumicola. RNAcentral describes it as "metaxin-2-like, transcript variant X9". The record is from RNAcentral. Lineage: Eukaryota; Metazoa; Arthropoda; Arachnida; Araneae; Eresidae.
CAGGAGUGGGAUCGACUGCUUCUUGUCCAGUAUGCAAUCACUGCAUGACCUGUCUGGCUGUGAGAGGGGAUGCUUAGACUCAUUUUCAGCUCAAUAUCACAGCAUGGAUUUUAGACAUCCCUGCACUAUGACCUUUGCUGGGGUUGAACCUUGGCCUGAAGAUGUUAAACUAUAUCAACCUUUUGAAGUUGAACAAAUUCUUUUACCAGAUAAUGCAGCCUGUUUAAGUGUAAAAGCCUUUUUAAGAAUGUGUAAACUGAACUUCCAAAUUGAAAUGCGAACUAAUGCUGAGAGCAUGUCUCCUUCUGGCAGUGUUCCAUUUAUUAGAUGUGGGACAUUUGUAGUUGCUGAUGUUGAGCCUAUUAUUAAUUUUGUACAUUCAAAGGGCAUUAAUCUAAGUGCACAUCUUGAUCAUGCUGGAAUAGCAGAUAUGAAAGCUUAUAUUUCUCUUGUAAAUAUUGUCUUGCGUAAUGCUGAACUUUAUAUAUCUUGGUGUGAUAAGCCAACUUUAAAUGAAGUAACUAAACCUCGAUAUGGUUCAUCUCUUCCAUGGCCUGUUAAUCAUAUUCUUUGCUGGCAAACAAAGUAUGAAGUUAAAAAGAAAUUAAAAACAGCUGAUUGGCAAUCAAAGUCAUUAGAAGAGGUAUAUGAAGAAGUGAACAAUUGCUGUCAUGCAUUAUCAGAAAAACUUGGAUCUCAGAAAUUCUUUUUUGGAGACACGCCAACUGAGUUAGAUGCUGUUGUUUUUGGUCAUCUAUUUGCAAUUCUGACAACUCCUUUACCAGACAAUCGUUUGUGUUCUAUUUUACGAGAGUAUCAGAAUCUUGUAAAUUUGUGUCAUCAUAUUGAUGUACAGUAUUUCCAGAAACAUGCUGAUGAAGAUGAUGAUAUAGAAAAUAUAGAAAUGGAAACUACAUCCUAAAUUAUUAUACAUAUGAGGGGUAGAUACAGCAGGGCUUGCAGGCUGUGUGUGGCUUUUGCAGGCGAGUGGUGUCCUGUUUUCGAAUAAGAACGUUUGCCUAUAUUUAGAUUCAUUAAUUGUAAAUGCAGAGGUCAAUAUCCUUUUCUUUGUUAAAUGCUGUAUUAAUAUGUGUGUUUUUCUACGGUUUUUCUCCCCUACCUGGAUA